Molecule: long non-coding RNA, 1868 nt
Organism: Patella vulgata (common limpet)
Lineage: Eukaryota; Metazoa; Mollusca; Gastropoda; Patellidae
Exons: 8
Source: RefSeq, a predicted model, not a curated record
AUGUUUGGUAUCUUGGCAGAGCAAUGUGGAAUAUAUAUCUGCAGAUCAUAUCACAUCUAUGAUAUAAGAAAUGGUAGUACUAUAGUUGAAGCCAAUGUGGGAAUCCCCAUGACGGCAGUGAGAAAUGAGAGUAUUAAAGUCAUCGAAACACUAGAAAAAUUGACGAGCUAUAUCUCCAGCACACCUUACCUUGACAACUAUACUAUGAAUUAUACAGACAGUUUUGAUAAGUUUAAAGUUUUAAUACAAGAUGAUUGUAAUGCUGUGGGUGCAGUAUGUGAAAGUUGGUUAUAUGAAUGUACAAAUAGCGCCUGUAUACAUAGAUGCGAAGGUAAAGACUGUGGACAACAUGGAGAGUGUACUGCAACUGAUGAAAAUCCUCUAAUCUGCAGGUGUUCCAGUGAUGAUUUAUAUAGUUACUAUGGUGAUAAAUGUGAAAAUAGUAACAUAAAGUGGGAAAUACUUGUCAGUAUCACAGCAGCUGUUGGAGUUGUUCUACUGAUUAUAUUAACAAUAGCCUUCAUCUGUUACUGUCAGAGAUCUGGGAAGAGUUCAGAACGGGGAUACCAGAAGGAUUUUGAUGAUGCUUCAUAUAAUCCUGGUGACAUUUCACUACAGGAAUAUUCACAACGACAAGAAGACAAAAUAAACCGCUAUGGAGAACUAAAAGAUGGCGGUGUCACUAAUACUGUCUAUCAACCGUCUGGGUAUGAUCAUCUACAUGAAGCUGACCCAAGAUAUCGUGGUUAUCCAGAUAAUGAUGAUGGGCUAAAUAGCAGCAGGACACAUGCCGAGGUUACUACAUUUUCAUCAUCCUAUGAAUACAUAGAUCCCCAAAUGGACUAUAGAAUAAAAAGACCCCAAGUCUCCAUUGAGCCAGUGACAAACACCAGAUUCUAAAUCAAGGUGUGUAAGAGGAGAACAACUAAGGAGAAGAAAUUGUAGAUCUGUUUGUUGGCCGGAUCGAUGUUAAUAUCCCUCAUCUCUAACUGGAAUCCCAAUGGCCGACUGGCAUCAGGUGUUCCGAAACUCUUUGUAUAUUUUUGUUUCACAGUGAAACGUUAUUACAUCAACCAUCUUUAAUUGUUUAUUUCUAACAAAUCGAAAAAAAAAAAUUCCAAAAUUAUUCUACACAAAACCUAUGGGUUUUCAAAUCCACAUUUAUAUUAUUUUUUAUAUGAAAAGACUAUUAAUGAGUGUGUUAGAAUCUCGAGCAAGUGAAGAUGCUCGUAUAUCGUAUUUUAUAUCUUUCCUAAAAUAUUUUUAAAGAGGGUGCUGUGUCAGAGCUAAAUUUAACUACCGGUAUUACAGAUUUUUGGACCAGCAACUGGUCGCUCACAGCUACUCGCCUUGUUCUUGCUGUUGUUUAUGGGGUGACACUCUUCCAAAAAAAACCUAAGGCUCCGCCAAUUCCUGUCCGAUCGACGUGAUAGUUACCAUGCCUGUUAUUUGAACAAUUCUGCAUCGAUUUGGUCAGUUCCUGGUCAAUAGUACGAUCGAACUCGUUUAUUCUAGCUUGAAUGUUAUAUAAACUAUUAUUGCACAUUUAUUCACAUGAUAAGCAAAUAACUCGUUUAUUCUAGCUUGAAUGUUAUAUAAACUAUUAUUGCACAUUUAUUCACAUGAUAAGCAAAUAAUUAACUCUCUAGAAUUUUGACUAACAAAAUGAAGGGAUUAGACACAAUGACCGUCAUAUUUUUAGGUAUAACUUAUAUUGUUUUUUAUCGAUUUUGAUUAAAAUGGAAUUACAUUUCCAAUUGAUUUAUUAUUCAUUUGAAAUAUUUAUAACCCGUGUUACGUAUGGAACUUAUGUUAUUUUAAUCAUAAUAUGCCUCAUUACGUAUUUUGAUUUGUUAUUUUAAUCAUAA